GGGGCAGGCUCGUCCGCCCAGGGUAAGUCGGGACCUAAGGCAAGGCCGAGAGGCGUAGUCGAUGGAUAACAGGUAGAAAUUCCUGUACUGUGUUUAAUCGUUAUGAGCGAUGGAGGGACGCAGGAGGGGAAACACGCAUCGAGCUGGAUCGAUGUUCAAGCAACAAGUGCGGUUAAGAGUCAAAUGCUUCUAACCAGCAAC
Molecule: ribosomal RNA, 201 nt
Filed under: Lactobacillus acidophilus
Lineage: Bacteria; Bacillati; Bacillota; Bacilli; Lactobacillales; Lactobacillaceae
Description: partial 23S ribosomal RNA
Rfam family: Bacterial large subunit ribosomal RNA
Source: RNAcentral